AAUCCAAACCCUAGCCGUCGCUAGCCUACCGCUCCCUCCCGGCGCUCGCCCAGUAGCGCGCCGACGCAGUGCCCUCGCCCCUAGCCGUUGCCCCCGCCGUCGCGCCGCGGCAGCUGUGCCGCGCACCUCGCCCUUGCAGUCAAAGAAGGCUUCUCCUCCUCCUGCUGACGUUGGUCGCCGGAGAAGGUCGUACUGUCCGGCGCCGGCACGGCCACAGACGACGGGGCCAAUGCCACCGACGCGAGCCCACCGGCCGGCGCGCCGCUCAACGUGCGGGCAAGGAAGUGGUGGCGGUUCCCGGCUACGGAAGGCCUCGUCACGGGCAGCGAGCGGAGUGUGCCCAACUCGUCGGACCCACUCCACAACCGCUGAAGCGCCUGUGUCAGCCGCCUGCCAUUCAUGCUGCUUCGACCUCUACUGUUAGUUAUAUCGUACCUCUGGUCGCAUGCUUUUUGGCUGCACAAUGUGGCUUGGUAUUCAGACUUCAGAGAAUUGAAUUGCGUAUACGAGUAAAUGUAGCUGAUUUUGGUCUAGCUGGUUUGCCGUUUCGAGCGUUUGUAAACACAAAUUCGUUGGCAGUUUACACCAUGCCGUGUGUAUAUAAAUUCCCUGAAAUCUGUGUCUUCGCUCAGUUCACAACAGUUUCAAGAU
RNA transcript from Zea mays, 651 nucleotides. It is a transcript of the gene named protein-like pseudogene, with no coding region annotated. The record is from RefSeq and is marked validated. Lineage: Eukaryota; Viridiplantae; Streptophyta; Magnoliopsida; Poales; Poaceae. The transcript has a single exon.